RNAcentral lists this ribosomal RNA (254 nucleotides) under uncultured prokaryote. RNAcentral's name for it is "partial 16S ribosomal RNA". It matches the Rfam family "Bacterial small subunit ribosomal RNA", at positions 524 to 777 of the family's 1533-position model. The record is from RNAcentral.
CACGUAGGGGGCGAGCGUUGUCCGGAAUUACUGGGCGUAAAGGGCGCGCAGGCUGUUAUGCGAGUCUGCUGUGAAAUGUACCGGCUCAACCGGUGCCUUGCGGCGGAUACUGCAUAGCUGGAGUACUGGAGAGGGAAGUGGAAUUCCUAGUGUAGCGGUGAAAUGCGUAGAUAUCAGGAGGAACACCGAUGGCGAAGGCAGGUCUCUGGGCCACUACUGACGCUGAGAAGCGAAAGCAUGGGGAGCGAACAGGA